RNA transcript from Fragaria vesca subsp. vesca, 505 nucleotides. RefSeq lists it as uncharacterized. The transcript has 2 exons. Lineage: Eukaryota; Viridiplantae; Streptophyta; Magnoliopsida; Rosales; Rosaceae. The record is from RefSeq and is a predicted model, not a curated record.
AAAAGGGACGCCCUGUGAUAUUGGAACAAAUUGAAGACUCCACCCUUCAGGGAGAGUAUAGUUACAUCCAGGAGAGGCAUGAGACUGUUCCUUAAUGGAAAUCGACACAAAUGGUCCAUUGUUGACUAAUUGGAAAUGAACCUGAGGUUUCGGAAAACUCUGAAGUGCGGGCACAUUUUGAGUCACUGCCAACUCAAGUUGCUGUGACAACUAUCACUACUUAUUCUGAAAUGCAGGAAACACCUGUAUAUGCCUUGCUACAGCCGAGUCUAAGGCUGGCAUGAAGAAAUCUGUUGUGAAGCCUUUACUGCUUAAAGGUGAAAACGGGAUUGAUGCAUCUUCCGAGUUUGAACUCAUUGGCUCUAAAUUUGUGUUUGCUUCUAAAAAGCUAGGUGAGGCCAUAGCACGUAAUGGUGCUCUGGCUGAGCCUACUGUUACUGAAAUUGAAGCACUAAAGCGUCCUCGGUCUAUUCCAAUUUCAAGUAUGAUUGUCACCUCAGCCAAG